RNAcentral lists this long non-coding RNA (768 nucleotides) under Homo sapiens (human). RNAcentral's name for it is "long non-coding RNA NONHSAT206445". The record is from RNAcentral. Lineage: Eukaryota; Metazoa; Chordata; Mammalia; Primates; Hominidae.
CAUGAAUCUACCUGACUACAGAGUUGAAGCCACCAAUUCUUGCCCUGCAUUUUGUGGUAGGCCAUAUGGUAUUGGUAUCUGACUAGUAGGAAAUACAAGCCUCUGGUCUGUGGAAAAGAAGAAGGUGUUAAAGGAGUUUAGAGAUUUUUCUAGAAGACACGCCUUGAGAGAGUUCACCAACACUGUACAAGGAUUAGGACCGGACAAGUGGAAAGUGAUGCCUUGGUUGGCAAGUGGCCCAAUGCUGGAAGUGAGAUGAACAAGCUCUUUCUGUAGAAUAAACCAUUAGGUUAACCUGAGACAGAGGAGAUGAGGCUUGGAACCUCUGCUCACCAGGUUGAUGAAAUCUUAUCUUGACACGAGAGGACCAGGAUCACAAUGACAAGUGAAGGGAAUAUGGCUGACAGCUGCUUACAACUCCUGUAUGUGGAAAAGUCACCUCCACUCAUAUUUUUUUUUGGCUAACACUAGGCACAUGGCCCCAGGACCAUCCUGUCUUUUGCCCAGAAGAACAGAAAUAUUCUGUGAAAUUCUCUAAAAUUCCCGUAGCAUCGCUUAAGUGAUGAUUAUGUGGCCAUUCCACUGACCUGAGAUUAGAGACAUGAAAACUUGGACGUGCUGGGUAGUAUUCCAAUGGGAGAAUCUGCCUGAGGAGGAAUCAAACGUGGGCGAAAGUAAAGCUGAGAGAAGGACAGAAAUAGAAUUCUGAUGACAUAUUGUUGGAGGUGCUGGAUCUAGUUGUGCCCGAAGCUACCCCUGAGCUUCGAA